Molecule: non-coding RNA, 544 nt
Organism: Python bivittatus (Burmese python)
Lineage: Eukaryota; Metazoa; Chordata; Lepidosauria; Squamata; Pythonidae
Source: RefSeq, a predicted model, not a curated record
UGACUCCUUCCUGGUCCAGUACAAGGAUGCAGAUGGCCAACUCCAAGCAUUGCCUGUGGAGGGCGGCUCCCAUGAAGUGACUGUGACCAACCUGGCUCCUUCCCGCAGAUACAAGUUCAACCUCUAUGGAGUCUCCGGGCGCAAACGCUCCAGCCCCCUUUCCACUGAUGCCACCACAGCCAGCCUUACAGACUCAGAGGAGGCAACUCCUGUCCAACCCAGCCUGGGGGAGCUCUCAGUCCUUGAUGUCACAAACGAUUCUGUCCGUCUCUACUGGACCGUCCACACCGGCAGCUUUGACUCCUUCCUGGUCCAGUACAAGGAUGCAGAUGGCCAACCCCAGGUGUUGCCUGUGGAGGGAGAUUCCCGCGAAGUGACUGUGACCAGCCUGGUUCCUUCACGCAGAUAUAAGUUCAACCUCUAUGGAGUCUCCGGGCGCAAACGCUCUAGCCCCCUCUCCACUGAUGCCACCACAGCUCCCCUUACAGACCCAGAGGAGGCAAUUUCUGUCCAACCCAGCCUGGGGGAGCUCUCAGUCCUUGAU